CGGCGGGCCUGUCCCGUCUCCCCGUUCCCCGUCCCCACGAACAAAACCCCGGCGCAUGAUGCGCCAAGGAAUCGCAACGAGAAAAGGAACGUGCCCCCGUUGCGCGCCGGGAACGGAAUGCGCACGGGCGGCCUCGUAUUCUUUGAAAACAAAACGACUCUCGGCAACGGAUAUCUCGGCUCUCGCAUCGAUGAAGAACGUAGCGAAAUGCGAUACUUGGUGUGAAUUGCAGAAUCCCGUGAACCAUCGAGUCUUUGAACGCAAGUUGCGCCCGAAGCCUUCGGGCCGAGGGCACGUCUGCCUGGGUGUCAUGCACCGUCGCCCCCAUCCCCACUCCCCYGAGGGGAGUGGGGAAGCGCGGGGCGGACAAUGGCCUCCCGUGCGCUCUCGCUCGCGGUUGGCCUAAAUCCGAGUUGUUGGCGGCGAGCGCCACGGCAAGCGGUGGUUGGAAAGACCCUCUGAAGUGUCG
This 469-nucleotide ribosomal RNA is filed under the name Barteria dewevrei. Its description in RNAcentral is "eukaryotic LSU rRNA". The stretch from base 156 to 311 matches the Rfam family "5.8S ribosomal RNA". The record is from RNAcentral. Lineage: Eukaryota; Viridiplantae; Streptophyta; Magnoliopsida; Malpighiales; Passifloraceae.